UACGUAGGGUGCAAGCGUUAAUCGGAAUUACUGGGCGUAAAGCGUGCGCAGGCGGUUUUGCAAGCCGGAUGUGAAAUCCCCGGGCUCAACCUGGGAAUGGCAUUCGGGACUGCAAGGCUGGAGUGCGGCAGAGGAGACUGGAAUUCCUAGUGUAGCAGUGAAAUGCGUAGAUAUCAGGAGGAAUACCGAUGGCGAAGGCAGGUCUCUGGGCUGACACUGACGCUCAUGCACGAAAGCGUGGGGAGCAAACAGG
RNAcentral lists this ribosomal RNA (253 nucleotides) under uncultured bacterium. RNAcentral's name for it is "partial 16S ribosomal RNA". It matches the Rfam family "Bacterial small subunit ribosomal RNA", at positions 524 to 776 of the family's 1533-position model. The record is from RNAcentral.